AGUGCGACACAUGGUGACAUGGGAGAUAACGGAAUGGUCACAUACUCUUUGAGAAACGGGACAGAUCAGUUCGCCAUUGACGCCCACACUGGGCAGAUAACUCUUGUCUCUGCCUUGACCUCCGGGGACGUGACCUUUAUAGUUCGCGCAACUGACAACGGAGAUACUGCCUUAUCAAGUGACGCUCAAGUCCUGGUCAAAAGCUCGGCUGCCGUUCUUCUGGGCUGAUAGAACUCGCUACCGGAGCACAGUUCUGAAGACUGUAUCGUUCACAGGGCUUCAGCCACCCACAAGUUUCGAUUUAAAAAGAAAAUUUCCUGUACAUUUUGGACAUUAAAAGAAAUUCCCCUAUUGGAAGGAUGGUAUGUUCA
Aplysia californica (California sea hare) is the source of this 371-nucleotide long non-coding RNA. RefSeq lists it as uncharacterized. Lineage: Eukaryota; Metazoa; Mollusca; Gastropoda; Aplysiida; Aplysiidae. The record is from RefSeq and is a predicted model, not a curated record. The transcript has 2 exons.